CCCUUGAUGUUCUGGGCCGCACGCGUGCUACACUGAGUAAAUCAAUGGGUAAGGGAACACGAAAGUGCAACCUAAUCUUGAAAUUUGCUCGUGAUGGGGAUCGACGGUUGCAAUUUUCCGUCGUGAACGAGGAAUACCUUGUAGGCGCGUGUCAUCAUCACGCGCCGAAUACGUCCCUGCCCUUUGUACACACCGCCCGUCGCUCCUACCGAUUGAGUGAUCCGGUGAGGCUCUGGGACCUGGACGGAAAGAGCGUUUCGCUUGUUCUGUUUGGGAAACUUGGUCGAACCUUAUCAUUUAGAGGAAGGAGAAGUCGUAACA
Molecule: ribosomal RNA, 321 nt
Filed under: uncultured eukaryote
Lineage: Eukaryota
Description: partial 18S ribosomal RNA
Rfam family: Eukaryotic small subunit ribosomal RNA
Source: RNAcentral